Molecule: ribosomal RNA, 440 nt
Filed under: uncultured bacterium
Lineage: Bacteria
Description: partial 16S ribosomal RNA
Rfam family: Bacterial small subunit ribosomal RNA
Source: RNAcentral
CCUACGGGAGGCAGCAGUGGGGGAUAUUGCACAAUGGGGGAAACCCUGAUGCAGCGCCGCCGCGUGAGUGAAGAAGUAUUUCGGUAUGUAAAGCUCUAUCAGCAGGGAAGAAAAUGACAGUACCUGACCACGAAGCCCCGGCUAACUACGGUCCAGCAGCCGCGGUAAUACGGAGGGGGCAAGCGUUAUCCGGAUUUAAUGGGGGUAAAGGGGGCGUAGACGGUUAUGUAAGUCUGGAGGGAAAGCCCGGGGCCCAACCCCGGGACUGCGUUGGACACUGUGUAACUGGAGUACAGGAGGGGCAGGCGGAAUGCCUGGUGUAGCGGUGAAAUGCGUAGAUAUCAGGAGGAACACCGGCGGCGAAGGCGGCCUGCUGGACUGAAACUGACGUUGAGGCUCGAAAGCGUGGGGAGCAAACAGGAUUAGAUACCCUAGUAGUC